RNAcentral lists this long non-coding RNA (227 nucleotides) under Ananas comosus (pineapple). RNAcentral's name for it is "long non-coding RNA (ACOM_LNC043908)". The record is from RNAcentral. Lineage: Eukaryota; Viridiplantae; Streptophyta; Magnoliopsida; Poales; Bromeliaceae.
UUGCUCGAUAAACCGAGUUGGAGUAUUAAUUGGGUUGAAGUGAGUUAGUUUCGGGGACGAAACUCUUUUAAGGAGGGGAGGAUGUAAGGUACCGGACUUCUAAAACUGAUAAGUUACGGUGUACAUUCGAUUGGAGAGCUAUUUGAAUGGUUUCAGUGAAGUUCGGUGAAGUUCGGGAGCAAUCGGGCGUUUCGGCGCGCGUAGGCGCGGAAACGGAACCCGAAAGG